Molecule: non-coding RNA, 143 nt
Organism: Gossypium hirsutum (cotton)
Lineage: Eukaryota; Viridiplantae; Streptophyta; Magnoliopsida; Malvales; Malvaceae
Source: Rfam
UGUAAAAAAUUUCAUCUACUUUUACUAUUAAAAACUAGUGUGACUGACAGAAUAACAGACAAUUGCACAUGGCAUGUUAUAUGUACCUAAUAGUGACAUACAAGAAUCAAUUCUUAACAGUACAAAUGGAUAAAAUUUUAACA